Molecule: long non-coding RNA, 232 nt
Filed under: Mytilus galloprovincialis (Mediterranean mussel)
Lineage: Eukaryota; Metazoa; Mollusca; Bivalvia; Mytilida; Mytilidae
Source: RNAcentral
AAAAGACUUCAAAGGUUUUGCAAUAAAUCAACUAGAGGACCCAAACUAAAUCUAUCAACUGAAUUAUAAAGUAAUUUCCACCAUUGACAUUUGUGCAGCUAUCUGCAUAGUAUUUGCAUUAAACUACUUUUAAAAUUUUAUUGUGGGGCCUGGUGUUGGGUUGUAAAUUGAUUACUUUUUUUUUACAGCAAAAAAGGCCAUCUGGAUAGAAAAUAGGGACACUAAAAAUAAG